CCAGGUGCUUUCCAUGUUCACUCCAGGUUGCUGAAACAAGAAGUGUGUCCAGCCUCCAGGGCUUGCCAGCAGCUAUUGACUGAUACGAGCACACUGUCCUCGGUGGCAGGAGGGAGCAACUUGCUUUAUCUAUGCAUUCCCUGGCAAGCAGCAGCAGUGGAGAAAGAGACAUGUCUCACUGGCCAGUGUCCAGUCCCUGGCAAGCCAAAUCAUUCUACAAGCUCUGAAACUGAAGAUAAAAAAUCAGCAAUGGAACAUUGCUGCUUGAGUCAGAGGUGUGAAGGAAUCAGCUCUCCACUCCAUGAUCCAUCCUCCAGCUCACAGCUGGUACAAAUGGGUGUGACUCAUUGCACAGCCAGAGGUUAUAAUGAAGUAUCCCACUCAUCCUUUAGCUCACCCUUUGUUCGAGACAAUGUGGAUUGCGGAAGGUUUCUGAGGAGGUAAGAGGAUUGCAAAAGAGUCAAAGACUCCUCUUUUAUCUUACCUAUGUGUGGGCAGUGAAACUGCCUGAUAUGAAACCAGUUGGGUGCAAAGGUGGGCAUGGAGGUUCAUUUGUCAUUGUGUCGAGGGUUGAAACUCAGAAGAUGCAGUAGCUGUCAUUAAAGAUAGGCGCCCAAACUUAAAUCACCUCACCCUGAGGGUAAGUCCAGAGAGACAAUCCCAGGAUAACACACUUCUCCCAACAUUUCCUCUAUGCUUUAGUUUCCAACAGGACAGAGGAUGAAAACCAAGCAGGCAUUUUUCAGUUUAAAAAAAAAUCUUGUUCCCUGCAUUUUAUGAUUUACAUCUGGAAAUGACUCUAAGUGCAAGAUUUUGCCAUUACCGUGCAAAUAAGAAUCCUGUGGCAUUAGAGUUUUUGAAAUAUAAAUAUAUGUUUCUUAGCAUAAAGUGACGUAUCUUCCAGAAGCACAGUUCUCUUGGAAAGAAUGUCUUGCUGCUGAUUAUGAAAAUGGCAUGAAAGUCAUGGGCUGAAUUAAAUAUUUUUCCAUAUGGGAAAAUUGAUGGGAAAGCUUCCUGGUAUCAUCAGUUCAUGUGAAGCAGAGGAAGAGAUCCUUUUACCACAGAAGUGUCAAAAUCCAGAGCUAUUCUGAAUCAAUUUGCUCUUUUAAUUGUCUUGUACAGACGUCUGUCUCU
This 1134-nucleotide long non-coding RNA is filed under the name Parus major (Great Tit). RNAcentral's name for it is "lncRNA (ENSPMJG00000019577.1)". Lineage: Eukaryota; Metazoa; Chordata; Aves; Passeriformes; Paridae. The record is from RNAcentral.